This is a non-coding RNA of Virgibacillus chiguensis, 73 nucleotides long. NCBI's taxonomy places the organism in Bacteria, Bacillati, Bacillota, Bacilli, Caryophanales, Bacillaceae. The record is from Rfam.
CCAGUGCUACAACCGCUCAGAACAGGUUGUAAACUCAAUGUGUAGUACCUGUAUGGCGAGUCUUAGUUUAUGG